AAAUAUCAUUUUAAUAUUGUUUUUCCUGUUUUUAGAAAAUCUAAACUUCCUGAUGAGGAGCAGCCAAACAUCAGCCCCGUCAUCAGGAAAGCUUCUCUGAAAAAGGAGAAGAUAAAAAAGAAAACAAAGAAAGAAAAGAAGGAGAAAAAGGAGGUGGAACAGAAGGAGGAAGACGAGGAGGAAGUGAUAGGAGAGAAGGAGGUGAAGGUGCAGAAGAAGAAGGAUGAAAACUCAGGAGAAGCUCCAAUUGAAACCAAAGAGAAAGCAGUGCAGACAGACAGCACACAAGAAGUAAAAUGGAAACUUUUGGAGUUUUGGAUCAAUAAAGACCUAGAAGUACAGAGACGGCGAGAGGAAGAACUAAGGGAGGAGGAAGAGUUCUUUAGCUGAAAGAACAACUGAAGCUAAAUUG
This is a long non-coding RNA of Bombina bombina (fire-bellied toad), 412 nucleotides long. RefSeq lists it as uncharacterized. The record is from RefSeq and is a predicted model, not a curated record. Lineage: Eukaryota; Metazoa; Chordata; Amphibia; Anura; Bombinatoridae. The transcript has 3 exons.